AGAGUUUGAUCAUGGCUCAGGAUUAACGCUAGCGGCAGGCCUAAUACAUGCAAGUUGUACGGGAUUAUUGGUAGCAAUACUGAUAUGAGAGUAGCGCACGGGUGCGUAACACGUAUGCAACCUACCUUUAACUGGGGAAUAGCUCACCGAAAGGUGAAUUAAUACCGCAUAAAAUCAUAGAAGGACAUCCUUUAAUGAUUAAAUCUCCGGAGGUUAAAGAUGGGCAUGCGUCCGAUUAGCUAGUUGGCGGGGUAAUAGCCCACCAAGGCAACGAUCGGUAGGGGGUCUGAGAGGAUGAUCCCCCACACUGGUACUGAGACACGGACCAGACUCCUACGGGAGGCAGCAGUAAGGAAUAUUGGACAAUGGUGGCAACACUGAUCCAGCCAUGCCGCGUGAAGGACGAAGGCCCUAUGGGUCGUAAACUUCUUUUAUACGGGACAAAACCCCUCUACGUGUAGAGGGUUGAUGGUACUUAAGAAUAAGU
Molecule: ribosomal RNA, 487 nt
Filed under: uncultured Flexithrix sp.
Lineage: Bacteria; Pseudomonadati; Bacteroidota; Cytophagia; Cytophagales; Flammeovirgaceae
Description: bacterial SSU rRNA
Rfam family: Bacterial small subunit ribosomal RNA
Source: RNAcentral